CAGUCGCCACGGUAAUACGAAGGGUGCAAGCGUUAAUCGGAAUUACUGGGCGUAAAGGGUGCGUAGGCGGUUAGUUAAGUCUGUCGUGAAAUCCCCGGGCUCAACCUGGGAAUUGCAGUGGAUACUGGGUCACUAGAGUGUGGUAGAGGAUAGUGGAAUUUCCGGUGUAGCAGUGAAAUGCGUAGAGAUCGGAAGGAACAUCUGUGGCGAAGGCGACUAUCUGGGCCAACACUGACACUGAGGCACGAAAGCGUGGGGAGCAAACAGGAUUAGAUACCCCAGUAGUCCCUGUCUCUUAUAC
Molecule: ribosomal RNA, 301 nt
Filed under: uncultured bacterium
Lineage: Bacteria
Description: partial 16S ribosomal RNA
Rfam family: Bacterial small subunit ribosomal RNA
Source: RNAcentral